GGUAGUCCACGCCCUAAACGAUGUCAACUAGCUGUUGGGGCCUUCGGGCCUUGGUAGCGCAGCUAACGCGUGAAGUUGACCGCCUGGGGAGUACGGUCGCAAGAUUAAAACUCAAAGGAAUUGACGGGGACCCGCACAAGCGGUGGAUGAUGUGGAUUAAUUCGAUGCAACGCGAAAAACCUUACCUACCCUUGACAUGUCUGGAAUCCCAAAGAGAUUAGGGAGUGCUCGCAAGAGAACCGGAACACAGGUGCUGCAUGGCUGUCGUCAGCUCGUGUCGUGAGAUGUUGGGUUAAGUCCCGCAACGAGCGCAACCCUUGUCCUUAGUUGCUACGAAAGGGCACUCUAAUGAGACUGCCGGUGACAAACCGGAGGAAGGUGGGGAUGACGUCAAGUCCUCAUGGCCCUUAUGGGUAGGGCUUCACACGUCAUACAAUGGUCGGGACAGAGGGUCGCCAACCCGCGAGGGGGAGCCAAUCCCAGAAACCCGAUCGUAGUCCGGAUCGUAGUCUGCAACUCGACUACGUGAAGUCGGAAUCGCUAGUAAUCGCGGAUCAGAAUGUCGCGGUGAAUACGUUCCCGGGUCUUGUACACACCGCCCGUCACACCAUGGGAGUGGGUUCCACCAGAAGUAGUUAGCCUAACCGCAAGGAGGGCGAUUACCACGGUGGGGUUCAUGACUGGGGUGAAGUCGUAACAAGGUAGCCGUAUCGGAAGGUGC
This 721-nucleotide ribosomal RNA is filed under the name uncultured bacterium. RNAcentral's name for it is "bacterial SSU rRNA". It matches the Rfam family "Bacterial small subunit ribosomal RNA", at positions 789 to 1515 of the family's 1533-position model. The record is from RNAcentral.